This 99-nucleotide microRNA precursor is filed under the name Felis catus (domestic cat). RNAcentral describes it as "mir-544 microRNA precursor family". It matches the Rfam family "mir-544 microRNA precursor family". Lineage: Eukaryota; Metazoa; Chordata; Mammalia; Carnivora; Felidae. The record is from Rfam by way of RNAcentral.
AUCACGUGGGGAUCUUGUUAAAAUGCGGACUCUGAUUUAGUGGGCUCUAGGGUAGGACCUGAGAUUGUGCAUUUCUAACGAGCUCUCAGGUGAUGCAGA